Macrobrachium nipponense is the source of this 549-nucleotide long non-coding RNA. RefSeq lists it as uncharacterized. NCBI's taxonomy places the organism in Eukaryota, Metazoa, Arthropoda, Malacostraca, Decapoda, Palaemonidae. The record is from RefSeq and is a predicted model, not a curated record. The transcript is spliced from 3 exons.
AUUCCCAACAAUUUCCACUUUUUUUGUUCGAGAAGAAGGACGCGGAUGCUUGUGAGUCAACGGAAGGCUUGGAAAAGAGCUCGAAGCACAAUUACUUCGUUUUUGUUGCGACUGAGGUUUAUUUACGAAAUUUAAGGAUGGAAUAAUGGUAAUGGAGAAAUCAGCUGGAAAGUUUGCUUCAGUCACAUGUUGAGCAAAUUUGUCAAAGUUUGCUUUGAACCAUUUUACUUCAAAAUUUGGAUGCCAGAGUGACAGACUUAAGUUCAACCAGACGUCAAAAUUAUGUAUACCUGGCUCGCGCCUCCCCUGCACAUUGCUGACGCCCCCCUAGGGGGGUGCGCCUCCCAGGUUGAGAACCACUCCUCUAGAGUAUCCAUGAAUUUCCAGGUAAUUUCAUCAGUGCUCGUUCUUGACUGGCGUCAUUUACUGCACCCAGUGAAUAGUUCUUAAGCUUGACAUACGUAGUAUAGUUGAUUUACAAUUAAAAUGUGUUGCUGUAUUAAAUCCUCGGUAUCUUAAGGGGCACAGCGUUUGUAACAAGUAACUAAG